GUCACCUUGAAAGAGGAAAGGGGGAUAGACAGAAGCUUGGGAAUCACAAUAGCCAUAUCAUCAGCGAAGAACUUUCCUUUAGUAAGUAAAACCAAGCAAACAUCUUUUCCCCUCCCUGGCAAGGCUUGGUACAAACCCCAGUGCAGGAGUCCAGACUAAGUGAACAAUGUGUGUGCAUAGAGAAGUGUGAGGGAUGAUGGAAAAUGAUGCCUUUCACUGAUGACUCUGCAGUAGGGCUUCAGAAGACAUCUCAUCAUUUGACCUGUGCAGCCAGAAGCAGACUUCAGUCUCCCUCAUGAUAUGAUACCACGUACUGUGACUGGUCCAUCACUACCAACACAUGGCAACAGGAAAGGCACCU
Molecule: long non-coding RNA, 361 nt
Filed under: Gallus gallus (chicken)
Lineage: Eukaryota; Metazoa; Chordata; Aves; Galliformes; Phasianidae
Description: long non-coding RNA NONGGAT011938
Source: RNAcentral